This 433-nucleotide ribosomal RNA is filed under the name uncultured bacterium. RNAcentral's name for it is "partial 16S ribosomal RNA". It matches the Rfam family "Bacterial small subunit ribosomal RNA", at positions 29 to 507 of the family's 1533-position model. The record is from RNAcentral.
AACGAACGCUGGCGGCAUGCCUAACACAUGCAAGUCGAACGAGACCUUCGGGUCUAGUGGCGCACGGGUGCGUAACGCGUUGGAUCCUGCCCUUAGGUUCGGAAUAACUCCCCGAAUGGGGUGCUAAUACCGGAUAUUGUCUUCGGACCAAAGAUUUAUCGCCUUUGGAUGGGCCCGCGUUGUAUUAGAUAGUUGGUAGGGUAAAAGCCUACCAAGGGGACGUUCCAUAGCUGGUAUGAGAGGAUGAUCAGCGACACUGGUACUGAGACACGGCGCAGACUACUACGGGAGGCAGCAGUGGGGAAUAUAGGAAAGUGGGGGAAAGGCUGAUCAAGCAAUGCCGGGUGAGUGAUGAAGGCGUUAGGGUAGUAAAGCUAUUUUACCCGGGAUGAUAAUGACAGUACCGGGAGAAUAAGCUCCGGCUAACUCCGUG